This 236-nucleotide unclassified non-coding RNA is filed under the name plant metagenome. RNAcentral's name for it is "partial contains small subunit ribosomal RNA, internal transcribed spacer 1, and 5.8S ribosomal RNA". The record is from RNAcentral.
UUUCCGUAGGUGAACCUGCGGAAGGAUCAUUACCGAGUGAGGGCCCUUUGGGUCCAACCUCCCACACGUGUUUCUUUACCUUGUUGCUUCGGCGGGCCCGCCUUAACUGGCCGCCGUGGGGUUAACGCCCCCGGGCCCGCGCCCGCCGAAGACACCCUCGAACCCUGUCUGAAGAUUGUAGUCUGAGUGAAAAUAUAAAUUAUUUAAAACUUUCAACAACGGAUCUCUUGGUUCCG